This 1391-nucleotide ribosomal RNA is filed under the name Streptomyces tricolor. Its description in RNAcentral is "16S ribosomal RNA". It matches the Rfam family "Bacterial small subunit ribosomal RNA". The record is from RNAcentral. Lineage: Bacteria; Bacillati; Actinomycetota; Actinomycetes; Kitasatosporales; Streptomycetaceae.
ACUUCGGUGGGGAUUAGUGGCGAACGGGUGAGUAACACGUGGGCAAUCUGCCCUUCACUCUGGGACAAGCCCUGGAAACGGGGUCUAAUACCGGAUACUGACCCUCGCAGGCAUCUGCGAGGUUCGAAAGCUCCGGGGUGAAGGAUGAGCCCGCGGCCUAUCAGCUUGUUGGUGAGGUAAUGGCUCACCAAGGCGACGACGGGUAGCCGGCCUGAAGGGCACCGGCCACACUGGGACUGAGACACGGCCCAGACUCCUACGGGAGGCAGCAGUGGGGAAUAUUGCACAAUGGGCAAAGCCUGAUGCAGCGACGCCGCGUGAGGGAUGACGGCCUUCGGGUUGUAAACCUCUUCAGCAGGGAAGAAGCGAAAGUGACGGUACCUGCAGAAGAAGCGCCGGCUAACUACGUGCCAGCGCCGCGGUAAUACGUAGGGCGCAAGCGUUGUCCGGAAUUAUUGGGCGUAAAGAGCUCGUAGGCGGCUUGUCACGUCGGUUGUGAAAGCCCGGGGCUUAACCCCGGGUCUGCAGUCGAUACGGGCAGGCUAGAGUUCGGUAGGGAAUCGGAAUUCCUGGUGUAGCGGUGAAAUGCGCAGAUAUCAGGAGGAACACCGGUGGCGAAGGCGGAUCUCUGGGCCGAUACUGACGCUGAGGAGCGAAAGCGUGGGGAGCGAACAGGAUUAGAUACCCUGUAGUCCACGCCGUAAACGGUGGGCACUAGGUGUGGGCAACAUUCCACGUUGUCCGGCCGCAGCUAACGCAUUAAGUGCCCCGCCUGGGGAGUACGGCCGCAAGGCUAAAACUCAAAGGAAUUGACGGGGCCCGCACAAGCGGCGGAGCAUGUGGCUUAAUUCGACGCAACGCGAAGAACCUUACCAAGGCUUGACAUACACCGGAAAGCAUCAGAGAUGGUGCCCCCCUUGUGGUCGGUGUACAGGUGGUGCAUGGCUGUCGUCAGCUCGUGUCGUGAGAUGUUGGGUUAAGUCCCGCAACGAGCGCAACCCUUGUCCCGUGUUGCCAGCAAGCCCUUCGGGUGUUGGGGACUCACGGGAGACCGCCGGGGUCAACUCGGAGGAAGGUGGGGACGACGUCAAGUCAUCAUGCCCCUUAUGUCUUGGGCUGCACACGUGCUACAAUGGCCGGUACAAUGAGCUGCGAUACCGCAAGGUGGAGCGAAUCUCAAAGCCGGUCUCAGUUCGGAUUGGGGUCUGCAACUCGACCCCAUGAAGUCGGAGUCGCUAGUAAUCGCAGAUCAGCAUUGCUGCGGUGAAUACGUUCCCGGGCCUUGUACACACCGCCCGUCACGUCACGAAAGUCGGUAACACCCGAAGCCGGUGGCCAACCCCUUGUGGGAGGGAGCUGUCGAAGGUGGACUGGCGAUUGGGACGAAGUCG